RNAcentral lists this ribosomal RNA (2902 nucleotides) under Escherichia coli. RNAcentral's name for it is "23S ribosomal RNA". It matches the Rfam family "Bacterial large subunit ribosomal RNA". The record is from RNAcentral. Lineage: Bacteria; Pseudomonadati; Pseudomonadota; Gammaproteobacteria; Enterobacterales; Enterobacteriaceae.
GGUUAAGCGACUAAGCGUACACGGUGGAUGCCCCGGCAGUCAGAGGCGAUGAAGGACGUGCUAAUCUGCGAUAAGCGUCGGUAAGGUGAUAUGAACCGUUAUAACCGGCGAUUUCCGAAUGGGGAAACCCAGUGUGUUUCGACACACUAUCAUUAACUGAAUCCAUAGGUUAAUGAGGCGAACCGGGGAACUGAAACAUCUAAGUACCCCGAGGAAAAGAAAUCAACCGAGAUUCCCCCAGUAGCGGCGAGCGAACGGGGAGCAGCCCAGAGCCUGAAUCAGUGUGUGUGUUAGUGGAAGCGUCUGGAAAGGCGCGCGAUACAGGGUGACAGCCCCGUACACAAAAAUGCACAUGCUGUGAGCUCGAUGAGUAGGGCGGGACACGUGGUAUCCUGUCUGAAUAUGGGGGGACCAUCCUCCAAGGCUAAAUACUCCUGACUGACCGAUAGUGAACCAGUACCGUGAGGGAAAGGCGAAAAGAACCCCGGCGAGGGGAGUGAAAAAGAACCUGAAACCGUGUACGUACAAGCAGUGGGAGCACGCUUCGGCGUGUGACUGCGUACCUUUUGUAUAAUGGGUCAGCGACUUAUAUUCUGUAGCAAGGUUAACCGAAUAGGGGAGCCGAAGGGAAACCGAGUCUUAACUGGGCGUUAAGUUGCAGGGUAUAGACCCGAAACCCGGUGAUCUAGCCAUGGGCAGGUUGAAGGUUGGGUAACACUAACUGGAGGACCGAACCGACUAAUGUUGAAAAAUUAGCGGAUGACUUGUGGCUGGGGGUGAAAGGCCAAUCAAACCGGGAGAUAGCUGGUUCUCCCCGAAAGCUAUUUAGGUAGCGCCUCGUGAAUUCAUCUCCGGGGGUAGAGCACUGUUUCGGCAAGGGGGUCAUCCCGACUUACCAACCCGAUGCAAACUGCGAAUACCGGAGAAUGUUAUCACGGGAGACACACGGCGGGUGCUAACGUCCGUCGUGAAGAGGGAAACAACCCAGACCGCCAGCUAAGGUCCCAAAGUCAUGGUUAAGUGGGAAACGAUGUGGGAAGGCCCAGACAGCCAGGAUGUUGGCUUAGAAGCAGCCAUCAUUUAAAGAAAGCGUAAUAGCUCACUGGUCGAGUCGGCCUGCGCGGAAGAUGUAACGGGGCUAAACCAUGCACCGAAGCUGCGGCAGCGACACUAUGUGUUGUUGGGUAGGGGAGCGUUCUGUAAGCCUGUGAAGGUGUGCUGUGAGGCAUGCUGGAGGUAUCAGAAGUGCGAAUGCUGACAUAAGUAACGAUAAAGCGGGUGAAAAGCCCGCUCGCCGGAAGACCAAGGGUUCCUGUCCAACGUUAAUCGGGGCAGGGUGAGUCGACCCCUAAGGCGAGGCCGAAAGGCGUAGUCGAUGGGAAACAGGUUAAUAUUCCUGUACUUGGUGUUACUGCGAAGGGGGGACGGAGAAGGCUAUGUUGGCCGGGCGACGGUUGUCCCGGUUUAAGCGUGUAGGCUGGUUUUCCAGGCAAAUCCGGAAAAUCAAGGCUGAGGCGUGAUGACGAGGCACUACGGUGCUGAAGCAACAAAUGCCCUGCUUCCAGGAAAAGCCUCUAAGCAUCAGGUAACAUCAAAUCGUACCCCAAACCGACACAGGUGGUCAGGUAGAGAAUACCAAGGCGCUUGAGAGAACUCGGGUGAAGGAACUAGGCAAAAUGGUGCCGUAACUUCGGGAGAAGGCACGCUGAUAUGUAGGUGAAGUCCCUCGCGGAUGGAGCUGAAAUCAGUCGAAGAUACCAGCUGGCUGCAACUGUUUAUUAAAAACACAGCACUGUGCAAACACGAAAGUGGACGUAUACGGUGUGACGCCUGCCCGGUGCCGGAAGGUUAAUUGAUGGGGUUAGCGCAAGCGAAGCUCUUGAUCGAAGCCCCGGUAAACGGCGGCCGUAACUAUAACGGUCCUAAGGUAGCGAAAUUCCUUGUCGGGUAAGUUCCGACCUGCACGAAUGGCGUAAUGAUGGCCAGGCUGUCUCCACCCGAGACUCAGUGAAAUUGAACUCGCUGUGAAGAUGCAGUGUACCCGCGGCAAGACGGAAAGACCCCGUGAACCUUUACUAUAGCUUGACACUGAACAUUGAGCCUUGAUGUGUAGGAUAGGUGGGAGGCUUAGAAGUGUGGACGCCAGUCUGCAUGGAGCCGACCUUGAAAUACCACCCUUUAAUGUUUGAUGUUCUAACGUGGACCCGUGAUCCGGGUUGCGGACAGUGUCUGGUGGGUAGUUUGACUGGGGCGGUCUCCUCCUAAAGAGUAACGGAGGAGCACGAAGGUUGGCUAAUCCUGGUCGGACAUCAGGAGGUUAGUGCAAUGGCAUAAGCCAGCUUGACUGCGAGCGUGACGGCGCGAGCAGGUGCGAAAGCAGGUCAUAGUGAUCCGGUGGUUCUGAAUGGAAGGGCCAUCGCUCAACGGAUAAAAGGUACUCCGGGGAUAACAGGCUGAUACCGCCCAAGAGUUCAUAUCGACGGCGGUGUUUGGCACCUCGAUGUCGGCUCAUCACAUCCUGGGGCUGAAGUAGGUCCCAAGGGUAUGGCUGUUCGCCAUUUAAAGUGGUACGCGAGCUGGGUUUAGAACGUCGUGAGACAGUUCGGUCCCUAUCUGCCGUGGGCGCUGGAGAACUGAGGGGGGCUGCUCCUAGUACGAGAGGACCGGAGUGGACGCAUCACUGGUGUUCGGGUUGUCAUGCCAAUGGCACUGCCCGGUAGCUAAAUGCGGAAGAGAUAAGUGCUGAAAGCAUCUAAGCACGAAACUUGCCCCGAGAUGAGUUCUCCCUGACCCUUUAAGGGUCCUGAAGGAACGUUGAAGACGACGACGUUGAUAGGCCGGGUGUGUAAGCGCAGCGAUGCGUUGAGCUAACCGGUACUAAUGAACCGUGAGGCUUAACCUU